This is a non-coding RNA of Paramuricea clavata, 980 nucleotides long. The record is from the annotation of a GenBank genome assembly. NCBI's taxonomy places the organism in Eukaryota, Metazoa, Cnidaria, Anthozoa, Malacalcyonacea, Plexauridae.
CUCCGGAAAAGGGGGUUAGCAAAAAAGGUUCAAAAUAAUCCGUUUUUUGGGGUUAGAAAUAACUCCAUUUCUGGGGUUAAAAUGUAACUCCACUUUUGGGGUUAAUCUAACUCUCAUAUUGGAGUUAAAAUCUAACCCCUUUUCAGGAGUUAAAUCAUUUUAACUCCAUUUCAGGAGUUAAACCGGCACUCUUGAAGACUUUUCCUCAUCUUUUUAAUUAUUUUACACAUUUUUAAUGUUAUGAAAACCAAAACCAUGUAAAAACAUCACUCAGUUUUCAUAACAUUAAAAAUUGCGUAGAAAUAAUUUUAAAAAAACGAGGUAAAAUCUGCCAAGAGCGUCAGUUUACGCGGAACGCUUUCUAACGACGUAAUGCAAUUACUUCGUCAAAAACGGGGAAGUAUCGGGAAAUCUAGCAAUCAGUCUAAUUAUACUAAGUCAACUGCUUCAUCUAAUACAAAACGUACGCGAGAAAGUUUUCUGUGAAAUAUAUUUUAUACCAACUAGCCAUGUAUUUCAAGAAAUAAAGUUCUACAACUUGAUUUCAAACCAUGCAUCAUUGACACAUUAAGUUACUGUCAAAUUUAAAUGUCCACAUACAUUGUCAAAGACAACAAGUACUAUUACAAUGUUAGAACUUCAGUAAAUGUACAGUACAGUACCUUGAACCUUUAGUUACAUAUGGUAUCAUCCUGAUUAUAGUAACAGACGAAGCAAGAUAUUUCCUAAUCUUGCAUGCAAUUGAAUUAAUAAUUUCAUCUCAGUGAAUUACUACUGAAAUUAACUCAUUAAUGCCCAACAUUUCUCCCUUGACAAGUAAAUUUUCUUGUAUAUAGACACAGUAAACUGAUAAAGUACUGUAGAUCACAUUAAGCCAUAUGCAUUAUAGCCUUAUGGACUGUAAUUUGCCCUGGAUUUUUGAAGUUGAAAAGUAGGAAUUAUGUUGUUUGUUAGCCCAUUACAGGCAAGGUGCUCUGUUU